UUGGAGUGCCAGAUAGUAUGGGUAUGAUUUAGGAUCAUACUAAGGUUGUUUUAACCCUCUGGC
RNAcentral lists this transfer RNA (63 nucleotides) under Echinoparyphium aconiatum. RNAcentral's name for it is "tRNA-Leu". Lineage: Eukaryota; Metazoa; Platyhelminthes; Trematoda; Plagiorchiida; Echinostomatidae. The record is from RNAcentral.